GAUGAACGCUGGCGGCGUGCCUAAUACAUGCAAGUCGAGCGAACAGACGAGGAGCUUGCUCCUCUGACGUUAGCGGCGGACGGGUGAGUAACACGUGGAUAACCUACCUAUAAGACUGGGAUAACUUCGGGAAACCGGAGCUAAUACCGGAUAACAUGUUGAACCGCAUGGUUCAACAGUGAAAGACGGUUUUGCUGUCACUUAUAGAUGGAUCCGCGCCGCAUUAGCUAGUUGGUAAGGUAACGGCUUACCAAGGCAACGAUGCGUAGCCGACCUGAGAGGGGGGGAGGCAGAAGUGGAACGGCGACACGGGGGAGACGACGAAGGGAGGGCAGAGGAGGGAAUAUGAAGUAAGGUGUGAAAGAAGAAAGGAGCAAAGAAGAGGGAGAGAAGAAGGGAUACGUAUCGAAAAACGUUGUGAGGAGGGAAGAACAAAAGGGUACGAAACAAUGCACGCGAGGAGGGUAAGUAAUAAGAAAGAUACCGCCCACCAAGUG
This 497-nucleotide ribosomal RNA is filed under the name uncultured bacterium. Its description in RNAcentral is "partial 16S ribosomal RNA". The stretch from base 21 to 338 matches the Rfam family "Bacterial small subunit ribosomal RNA", at positions 48 to 357 of the family's 1533-position model. The record is from RNAcentral.